RNAcentral lists this ribosomal RNA (406 nucleotides) under uncultured eukaryote. Its description in RNAcentral is "bacterial SSU rRNA". It matches the Rfam family "Eukaryotic small subunit ribosomal RNA", at positions 592 to 997 of the family's 1831-position model. The record is from RNAcentral.
CAAUAGCGUAUAUUAAAGUUGUUGCAGUUAAAAAGCUCGUAGUUGGAUUUCUGGUUGAAGCGACCGGUCGGGCGUUGAUUCGUCUGCACUGGAGUCGGUUUUGGCCAUCCUCUAGGAAAGUGCGUCUGGUAUUAAGUUGUCGGGCGUAUGAUCCUGGUCUUUUACUGUGAAAAAAUCAGAACGUUCAAAGUAAGCAUUUAGCUUUGAAUGUAUUAGCAUGGAAUAAUGAAAUAGGACUUAGGUACUACUUUGUUGGUUUAUGCACCUAGGUAAUGAUUAAUAGGGAUAGUUGGGGGUAUUCGUAUUCCAAUGUUAGAGGUGAAAUUCUUGGAUUUUUGGUAAGACGAACAACUGCGAAAGCAUUUACCAAGGAUGUUUUCAUUAAUCAAGAACGAAAGUUAAGGGA